GUCUCGUUGUGGGUGAAAUUAACACAUUUGGAAAAUGCCAAAUUCCUAAAUCACUUUAACGAAUGUGCCCCUGUUUUUUCAUUUGUCACUUUGAUAAAUGAGCCUUGUUACACCCCCUUGGCUGUCAAUCAGAGAACUGGUCCUGUUACUUCCUGGCAUCAGCAUGCAGAGCACAUUAUAUUGGGUCAAGAAUAGGCAACCUUUGGUACUCCAGAUGUUGAGG
Molecule: non-coding RNA, 223 nt
Organism: Pelobates cultripes (western spadefoot toad)
Lineage: Eukaryota; Metazoa; Chordata; Amphibia; Anura; Pelobatidae
Source: the annotation of a GenBank genome assembly